AACGAACGCUGGCGGCAGGCCUAACACAUGCAAGUCGAACGAACCUUCGGGUGAGUGGCGCACGGGUGCGUAACGCGUGGGAAUAUACCCCUUGGUAAGGAACAACGUCUGGAAACGGACGCUAAUACCUUAUAAUGACUCCGGUCCAAAGAUUUAUCGCCAAGGGAUUAGCCCGCGUCUGAUUAGUUAGUUGGUGAGGUAACGGCUCACCAAGACGAUGAUCAGUAGCUGGUCUGAGAGGAUGAUCAGCCACACUGGGACUGAGACACGGCCCAG
This 276-nucleotide ribosomal RNA is filed under the name uncultured bacterium. RNAcentral describes it as "partial 16S ribosomal RNA". It matches the Rfam family "Bacterial small subunit ribosomal RNA", at positions 29 to 334 of the family's 1533-position model. The record is from RNAcentral.